Molecule: non-coding RNA, 125 nt
Organism: Triticum aestivum (bread wheat)
Lineage: Eukaryota; Viridiplantae; Streptophyta; Magnoliopsida; Poales; Poaceae
Source: Rfam
GUAGUACUCCCUCCAUCCGGAAAUACUUGACAUUGAAAUGGAUGUAUGUAGAUGUAUUUUAGUUCUAGAUACAUCCAUUUUCAUUAAUUUGGUUGAUAAAUAUUUCCGGACGGAGGGAGUACCAU